CUAUGGGGUGCAGCAGGCGCGAAAACUUCACAAUGUGGGAAACCGCGAUGAGGGGAUUCCAAGUGCUAACACUUUGUGUUAGCUGUUCACCUGCCUAAAAAGCUGGUGAAGUAAGGGCCGGGUAAGACGGGUGCCAGCCGCCGCGGUAAUACCUGCGGCCCGAGUGGUGGUCGUUAUUAUUGAGCCUAAAGCGUCCGUAGCCGGUUCAGUAAAUCUCUGGGUAAAUCGGGCAGCUUAACUGUCCGAAUUCCGGAAAGACUGCUGAACUUGGGACCGGGGGAGGUUGGAGGUACUCCUGGGGUAGGGGUGAAAUCCUGUAAUCCUAGGGGGACCACCAGUGGCGAAGGCGUCCAACCAAAACGGCUCCGACGGUAAGGGACGAAGCCCUGGGGCGCAAACGGGAUUAGAUACCCCGGUAGUCCAGGGUGUAAACGCUGCAGGCUUGGUGUUGGGGGUCCUACGAGGGCGCCCAGUGCCGGAGAGAAGUUGUUAAGCCUGCCGCUUGGGGAGUACGUCCGCAAGGAUGAAACUUAAAGGAAUUGGCGGGGGAGCACAGCAACGGGUGGAGCGUGCGGUUCAAUUGGAUUCAACGCCGUAAAACUCACCGGGAGCGACGGUUACAUGAAGGCCAGGCUGAUGACCUUGCCUGAUUUUCCGAGAGGUGGUGCAUGGCC
This 674-nucleotide ribosomal RNA is filed under the name uncultured archaeon. Its description in RNAcentral is "bacterial SSU rRNA". It matches the Rfam family "Archaeal small subunit ribosomal RNA", at positions 323 to 999 of the family's 1478-position model. The record is from RNAcentral.